This 253-nucleotide ribosomal RNA is filed under the name uncultured bacterium. Its description in RNAcentral is "partial 16S ribosomal RNA". It matches the Rfam family "Bacterial small subunit ribosomal RNA", at positions 524 to 776 of the family's 1533-position model. The record is from RNAcentral.
UACGUAGGGUGCGAGCGUUGUCCGGAAUUAUUGGGCGUAAAGAGCUCGUAGGCGGCUUGUCGCGUCGGAUGUGAAAGCCCGGGGCUUAACUCCGGGUCUGCAUUCGAUACGGGCAGGCUAGAGUUCGGUAGGGGAGACUGGAAUUCCUGGUGUAGCGGUGAAAUGCGCAGAUAUCAGGAGGAACACCGGUGGCGAAGGCGGGACUCUGGGCCGAUACUGACGCUGAGGAGCGAAAGCGUGGGGAGCAAACAGG